RNAcentral lists this ribosomal RNA (440 nucleotides) under uncultured bacterium. RNAcentral describes it as "partial 16S ribosomal RNA". It matches the Rfam family "Bacterial small subunit ribosomal RNA", at positions 338 to 795 of the family's 1533-position model. The record is from RNAcentral.
CCUACGGGUGGCAGCAGUGGGGAAUAUUGCACAAUGGGGGAAACCCUGAUGCAGCGACGCCGCGUGAGCGAUGAAGUAUUUCGGUAUGUAACGCUCUAUCAGCAGGGAAGAAGAUGACGGUACAUGACUAAGAAGCCCCGGCUAACUACGUGCCAGCAGCCGCGGGAAUACGUAGGGGGCAAGCGUUAUCCGGAUUUACUGGGUGUAAAGGGGGCGGAGACGGCGAUGCAAGCCAGAUGUGAAAGCCCGGGGCUAAACCCCGGGACUGCAUUUGGAACUGUGUGGCUGGAGUGUCGGAGAGGCAGGCGGAAUUCCUAGUGUAGCGGUGCAAUGCGUAGAUAUUAGGAGGAACACCAGUGGCGAAGGCGGCCUGCUGGACGAUGACUGACGUUGAGGCUCGAAAGCGUGGGGAGCAAACAGGAUUAGAUACCCCGGUAGUC